GGGCCAAACUGGAUGUCCAUGAAAAGACAGGCAGAUCAUCCCCCCAGACAAAGAUUCUUACUGAUGCUGACUGCAGCCUAAUAACCAUAAGACAGCAUCUGUGAGAGAAGUCCUUAAGGAACAAAACAAAGACUUCAAAGGUCACACCUCCUCCAAAGUUCAAACAGAGCAGUUUGUUGAAUGGAAGAACAAAACAUGGCGAGGCGGAAGGAAGAUCUUAGACAAAUCUCCAGUGAUCAUGACAUGACAAGCAGGAGCAUCGGAGCAAGCCUGCUGUGGGGAUGCUGCAGUGAGCAUUUCUUUUGACUGAGGUUCCUCAUAACUCCCGUCUGACAAAUGACUUCUUCCAAAUCACUCAAACUGCUGAGCCAGGAAAAAAAUGAAGAAACUCUCACAAACACGCUGCAGAAUGCAGACUCUGAACUUGCACCAGUUCCUGACACACAUUAACAUUCAUACCCACAUACAGAUUCCCCCAUUCACUAUUCCAAGUUGGUCAGAGUAGUUUUCAGAUUAAAAGUGUUAAACCAACCAGAGACUGGGAUUCACAUUUCCUUUAUGUAACUUUACUUUAGAUUUCAAGUGUUGCAUUGUGUCACAAUUAAAGGGCAUUUGAGUUUGAACUUUCUUUUGAUUGCAUUUGCAUCAUUUCUUUGUAUCUUGUCAUAUUCUUCUCAGUUCUCUGUAUAUACUAGUAUUAUUGUAACGUGUUCUAUGCAUCGCUGCAUACAGAGGGUCUAAACCCUCGGCUAUUUA
Molecule: long non-coding RNA, 756 nt
Organism: Xiphophorus hellerii (green swordtail)
Lineage: Eukaryota; Metazoa; Chordata; Actinopteri; Cyprinodontiformes; Poeciliidae
Exons: 3
Source: RefSeq, a predicted model, not a curated record